GGAGGUUUCAUUAUGCAGUCAUGGUUCAUUAAAUGGUGAUUAACAAUCUUCAGCCUGUUGCCUCUAGCGAGUGCAUGUCUUUGAGGAGGUGGCGUUGGGAGGCCCCCUAAGGACCCUCUGCCUCUCCUCGGGUCCUUGCCCUGAGUGUGGUAAAACAUGGAGAAACAGGGCUCUUAGCAGAAAGUAGGGGAGUCAGGACUGAUAGAGUGCCAAGUGGAAGUUUAUUUAAAGUGAGGUAAAUACAGAGAAAGCGGAAGAGACAGCAUCUCAGCAGCAGAGUGGAGCUAGGAGAAGAAGCAGCCUGCUUGGGAAGCUCCAAGCCAGCAGGCAGAGGAGCCCUUUGAAGGACUGUUACAGAUGCAGCAGCAACAGUAGCAGCAUAGAUGCUCUGGGGCUGGGAGACCAGGUCUCUGGAACUGCACAGCGUCCUGUCACUAAACUUGCCACAAGCAGAGGCAGUCAUGUCAUGAACUGGCCCUCAAGACAUGAGGAUUUCUCCAGAGCUAAGGAAACCUAAGCGGAGCUAAUGACCGGCUGGAGCUCAGCCCGUGACAUCACCCCAUAAAACCGGUCUGCCCUCCUCUGUAAAUGGGCCGGUGUGAGCCUCUUGCUCAGAAUGUGUCCCUUCUGGCUGCUCAAGCUCGAGUGCCUUCCCUGUCUUUCUCUUUCCAAUUAAAGCUGUUACCUAUAAAUUCCUACCGUUGCUUUCAUUUUAAUUUCCACUGUCACUGAAGGAAGGACGCAGGGUAACUGGGGAAGGCAAGCCUCAUUCUUCUUCCUG
Molecule: long non-coding RNA, 781 nt
Filed under: Chinchilla lanigera (long-tailed chinchilla)
Lineage: Eukaryota; Metazoa; Chordata; Mammalia; Rodentia; Chinchillidae
Description: lncRNA (ENSCLAG00000027975.1)
Source: RNAcentral